AGUCGGAGUCUGGGAGGAGAGGGGACGUUUCCUAUCGAUCAACAUCCGCAGACAGGUAAUCAGGCCCCAGGCCAGGCGCUGAUCGCCCCGGCUGUGUCCAUCCAUCUCCUUCCUGCGGUGCCGAGACUGGGGCCGGGCCCCGAGCCACAGUGCCCGCCCGUCACGUUCCAUCUGGGCAGCUGGCAUCGGGGGUCUCAGGGCUGCUCCACGGACCGAGCCUCAGGAAGUCCGAGUGAGGGGGGGAGAGAGAGAGAGAGGAGAGAGACCGGAGCAGACAUAGAGCCACUGGACGGCCAGUGCGCGCAGGGCCCCGAGCUCGGAGCCACAGACAGACACAGCGAACAAAACCGACAGAAGGUGGGCAGCGCUGCCAGCAGAGAGAGACCCAGUGCAGGGCGCCGUGCCCUCCUCACGCGGAGUGGAUCUACUUUGGCCAUGAGGGUGAGGACCAUGCAUCCACCUUGUAGGAUUGCUCACUCAGUUCUUGCUGCUCUCUUACCAAAAGUCAAAAGAAUCCUGACAAAUACCUCCUUGUAAGAUGCCAUCUCCUGCAGAGCACUGGUCUAGCCCAGAGCCUCCGUCAAAGGUGACACACAGAGACAAUGCCCCUCCCUCUGCUCCGUCAGACUCACACUGGGCUGGGCUCCUUGGGCCAUUUACUUUCCCUCUCUUAAGACCCUGUUGCAAACGUGCAGAGCAUGGCUCCUUCCUGACGAUCCUCCUGACUGUGCGCAGAUGACGCCAUCCUCUCACUGCUGUGCUCUCAGGCCCCAGUGACGCCACAUAAAGAGCCUUCGACAGCCAGUAGUGAUUCCAGAAGCAACAAGAGUGCACCCUCCCCUUUCUCCAGAGCCUUCCACAUACCAUCACCACUAAUUGAAAUACCACCCUUACAGUGUCAUCUUGAAUUUCCUGAU
This 917-nucleotide long non-coding RNA is filed under the name Equus caballus (horse). RNAcentral describes it as "lncRNA (ENSECAG00000041375.2)". The record is from RNAcentral. Lineage: Eukaryota; Metazoa; Chordata; Mammalia; Perissodactyla; Equidae.